Long non-coding RNA from Gossypium arboreum, 370 nucleotides. RefSeq lists it as uncharacterized. Lineage: Eukaryota; Viridiplantae; Streptophyta; Magnoliopsida; Malvales; Malvaceae. The transcript has 2 exons. The record is from RefSeq and is a predicted model, not a curated record.
GCUUUUGUCAUCUUUCGUUUGAGAUUUCACAUUUUAUCUUCAACAAUAAACUAUUUCUAGGUGUUCUGACGGGAUUUGGAUUAUUUUACCUACAAAACUUCUUUUCCAUAUUUCUUCCCUUUGAUUAGCAUUUUUUUUUUCUUUUUCAAGUUUAGGGUGUAUGUCCUCCAUUGUAGGGUGUAAUCGGCUUUCAGCAUCAACAAAUCUCAAAGGUCAUCAGGUUAAACAAAGUAUAAAGACAAGGGUAAAUACUCAUGGAAAUGCCUUCUUUCUCCUGUCAUAGUUAUUAACUUCCAACCUAACUGUAUGAAUCCAUGAGCUUUAAUUCAGUAAAAUUUUAAUUUUAAUUUAACUACACAUAUUCUAAAAA